CAGUCGAGCGGAUGAGGGAGCUUGCUCCUGGAUUCAGCGGCGGACGGGUGAGUAAUGCCUAGGAAUCUGCCUGGUAGUGGGGGACAACGUUUCGAAAGGAACGCUAAUACCGCAUACGUCCUACGGGAGAAAGCAGGGGACCUUCGGGCCUUGCGCUAUCAGAUGAGCCUAGGUCGGAUUAGCUAGUUGGUGAGGUAAUGGCUCACCAAGGCGACGAUCCGUAACUGGUCUGAGAGGAUGAUCAGUCACACUGGAACUGAGACACGGUCCAGACUCCUACGGGAGGCAGCAGUGGGGAAUAUUGGACAAUGGGCGAAAGCCUGAUCCAGCCAUGCCGCGUGUGUGAAGAAGGUCUUCGGAUUGUAAAGCACUUUAAGUUGGGAGGAAGGGUUGUAGAUUAAUACUCUGCAAUUUUGACGUUACCGACAGAAUAAGCACCGGCUAACUCUGUGCCAGCAGCCGCGGUAAUACAGAGGGUGCAAGCGUUAAUCGGAAUUACUGGGCGUAAAGCGCGCG
This 516-nucleotide ribosomal RNA is filed under the name Pseudomonas sp. RNAcentral's name for it is "bacterial SSU rRNA". It matches the Rfam family "Bacterial small subunit ribosomal RNA", at positions 59 to 571 of the family's 1533-position model. Lineage: Bacteria; Pseudomonadati; Pseudomonadota; Gammaproteobacteria; Pseudomonadales; Pseudomonadaceae. The record is from RNAcentral.